UCGUUGUACGAGUCGUGGAAGCCUUGGGCCCGAAGGAACGCGAUGAGGCCCCGGUAACGAAGCCGCGUCACGCGCGGAUGCUCCGGCGGGCUGGAAAGCUUGCGGGCAGAGUCGUCCGCCGCGCGGGAGCGCUUCUUGCCAGAAUGCGUGUGGGCGGCCCCGCCGACGGAGUCGUCCAACGGGCGGGAGCGCAUCUUGCCAGAAAGCGUGUGGGCAGCCUCGCCGACUGAGACGCGCAUGUUAUCCGCCGGGCCGG
Molecule: long non-coding RNA, 256 nt
Filed under: Hordeum vulgare
Lineage: Eukaryota; Viridiplantae; Streptophyta; Magnoliopsida; Poales; Poaceae
Description: long non-coding RNA (HVUL_LNC016416)
Source: RNAcentral